RNAcentral lists this small nuclear RNA (124 nucleotides) under Octodon degus (degu). Its description in RNAcentral is "U4 spliceosomal RNA (ENSODEG00000022822.1)". The stretch from base 1 to 62 matches the Rfam family "U4 spliceosomal RNA". From Rfam's summary of the family: U4 small nuclear RNA (U4 snRNA) is a component of the major U2-dependent spliceosome. The structure of U4 snRNA from yeast and human has been reported. U4 snRNA presents a k-turn RNA motif in the 5p-SL related to recognition of Snu13 protein. The record is from RNAcentral. Lineage: Eukaryota; Metazoa; Chordata; Mammalia; Rodentia; Octodontidae.
AGCUUUGCGCAGUGACAGUAUCGUGGCCAAUGAGGUGUAUCCGAGGCGCGAUUAUUGCUAAAGAUGUAACAUGGAAAACGGAAGUGAAUUUUCAGCCCCCAAAAUAUAAUUGCUAAUGGAUUAG